RNAcentral lists this ribosomal RNA (496 nucleotides) under uncultured bacterium. RNAcentral's name for it is "partial 16S ribosomal RNA". It matches the Rfam family "Bacterial small subunit ribosomal RNA", at positions 28 to 507 of the family's 1533-position model. The record is from RNAcentral.
GAUGAACGCUGGCGGCGUGCCUAAUACAUGCAAGUCGAGCGAACGGACGAGAAGCUUGCUUCUCUGAUGUUAGCGGCGGACGGGUGAGUAACACGUGGAUAACCUACCUAUAAGACUGGGAUAACUUCGGGAAACCGGAGCUAAUACCGGAUAAUAUUUUGAACCGCAUGGUUCAAAAGUGAAAGACGGUCUUGCUGUCACUUAUAGAUGGAUCCGCGCUGCAUUAGCUAGUUGGUAAGGUAACGGCUUACCAAGGCAACGAUGCAUAGCCGACCUGAGAGGGUGAUCGGCCACACUGGAACUGAGACACGGUCCAGACUCCUACGGGAGGCAGCAGUAGGGAAUCUUCCGCAAUGGGCGAAAGCCUGACGGAGCAACGCCGCGUGAGUGAUGAAGGUCUUCGGAUCGUAAAACUCUGUAUUAGGGAAGAACAUAUGUGUAAGUAACUGUGCACAUCUUGACGGUACCUAAUCAGAAAGCCACGGCUAACUACGUG